This 510-nucleotide ribosomal RNA is filed under the name uncultured bacterium. Its description in RNAcentral is "partial 16S ribosomal RNA". It matches the Rfam family "Bacterial small subunit ribosomal RNA", at positions 28 to 507 of the family's 1533-position model. The record is from RNAcentral.
GACGAACGCUGGCGGCGUGCUUAACACAUGCAAGUCGAACGAAGAGCGAUGGAAGCUUGCUUCUAUCAAUCUUAGUGGCGAACGGGUGAGUAACGCGUAAUCAACCUGCCCUUCAGAGGGGGACAACAGUUGGAAACGACUGCUAAUACCGCAUACGAUCUAAUCUCGGCAUCGAGGAUAGAUGAAAGGUGGCCUCUACAUGUAAGCUAUCACUGAAGGAGGGGAUUGCGUCUGAUUAGCUAGUUGGAGGGGUAACGGCCCACCAAGGCGAUGAUCGGUAGCCGGUCUGAGAGGAUGAACGGCCACAUUGGGACUGAGACACGGCCCAGACUCCUACGGGAGGCAGCAGUGGGGAAUCUUCCGCAAUAGACGAAAGUCUGACGGAGCAACGCCGCGUGAGUGAUGACGGCCUUCGGGUUGCAAAGCUCUGUUAAUCGGGACGAAAGGCCUUCUUGCGAAUAGUGAGAAGGAUUGACGGUACCGGAAUAGAAAGCCACGGCUAACUACGUG